Molecule: ribosomal RNA, 497 nt
Filed under: uncultured bacterium
Lineage: Bacteria
Description: partial 16S ribosomal RNA
Rfam family: Bacterial small subunit ribosomal RNA
Source: RNAcentral
GACGAACGCUGGCGGCGUGCCUAAUACAUGCAAGUCGAGCGGACGGAUGGGAGCUUGCUCCCAGACCGUCAGCGGCGGACGGGUGAGUAACACGUGGGCAACCUGCCUGUAAGACUGGGAUAACUCCGGGAAACCGGGGCUAAUACCGGAUAACUCUUUCCCUCACAUGAGGGAAAGCUGAAAGAUGGCAUCUCGCUAUCACUUACAGAUGGGCCCGCGGCGCAUUAGCUAGUUGGUGAGGUAACGGCUCACCAAGGCGACGAUGCGUAGCCGACCUGAGAGGGGGAGCGGCCACACUGGGACUGAGACACGGCCCAGACUCCUACGGGAGGCAGCAGUAGGGAAUCUUCCGCAAUGGACGAAAGUCUGACGGAGCAACGCCGCGUGAGUGAUGAAGGUUUUCGGAUCGUAAAACUCUGUUGUCAGGGAAGAACAAGUACCGGAGUAACUGCCGGUACCUUGACGGUACCUGACCAGAAAGCCACGGCGAACUACGU